Molecule: ribosomal RNA, 1905 nt
Filed under: Triticum aestivum (bread wheat)
Lineage: Eukaryota; Viridiplantae; Streptophyta; Magnoliopsida; Poales; Poaceae
Description: partial small subunit ribosomal RNA
Source: RNAcentral
AUGCCCACUUCCUCCCCCUCGUUUGUGUCGGCGGAGGAGGAGAUGAGGAACUGGGCGGAGCUGCCGCCGGACGCGAUCUCAACCAUCCUCCAGAAGCUCGACCACGUCGACAUCCUGAUGGGGGCCGGUCAGGUGUGCCGCUCCUGGCGCGGCGCCGCCCGCGACGAGCCCGAGCUAUGGCGCCGCAUCGACAUGCUGGGCCACGCCGACCUCUCCCCCGAGCUCAACCUCCACGGGAUGGCGCAGGCCGCCGUCCGCCGCAGCGCGGGGAGAUGCGAGGCGUUCUGGGGCGACUACACCGACGACCACGACUUUCUCCUCUACCUCGCCGACCAGGCACCAUCUCUCAAGAGUCUUCGCCUCAUUUCUCGCUAUAAUUUUGAUAAAGUACUUAAGGAGAUGAUAGUGAAAUUCCCUUUGCUCGAGGAGCUCGAGCUUUCAUUAUGUUCAGAUGUGGGUGAGAGUGGUGUGUUUGGGGUUGUUGGCAAAGCAUGCCCACAACUGAAACGCUUCAGACUGAAUAAGGACGUGUUCUAUGAUUUUGAAGCUAGUGACAAUGACAGGGACGACGAAGCCAUGGGGAUUGCAACUAUGCAUGAGUUACGCUCUUUGCAGUUAUUUGCCAAUCGCCUGACCAAUAAAGGACUGACAGCCAUCCUGCAUAAUUGCCGCCACCUUGAGUCCCUUGACAUUCGUCACUGCUUCAAUGUCUGCAUGGACAACACCCUGCGUGCAAAGUGUGAUAGGAUAAGUACAUUGAGGCUUAUCCUGCCAAGAUUAAGUGAUGUUCGCAUGAGAGGGCAAUUUGUUCGUCGGCAAACAUCUGACAGGGGAUUCCCCAGAAUAAUAUCUUCCUCAUCCAUGGAUGCCCAGGAUGAUCUUUCUGCCAUUGAGAAUCAGGUGUGCAAGCUAAGUGAUGUUCGCAUGAGAGGGCAAUUUGUUCGUCGGCAAACAUCUGACAGAAUAAUAUCUUCCUCAUCCAUGGAUUCUCGGGGUGAUCUUUCUGCCAUUGAGAAUCAGGUGCGCAAGCUAAUCGAUGAUUUGAGAAGCGAUUCCAUAGAAGGUCAAAGAUCAGCGACAUCAGAGAUUCGCCUUCUAGCUAAGCACAACAUGGAGAACAGGAUUGUCAUUGCAGAUUGUGGGGCUAUAAACUUGCUGGUUGGUCUUCUUCAUUCACCAGAUGCCAAGAUCCAAGAAAAUGCAGUGACAUCCCUCCUCAAUCUGUCCAUCAGUGAUAACAAUAAGAUUGCCAUCGUGAAUGCAUAUGCUAUUGAUCCUCUCAUCCAUGUCCUGGAAACAGGGAACCCUGAAGCUAAAGAGAAUUCAGCAGCUACUUUGUCCAGUCUCUCGGUUAUUAAAGAAAACAAAGUGAGGGUUGGACGAUCUGGUGCCGUCAAGCCUCUCGUGGACUUGCUGGUAAGUGGGACCCCGCAAGGAAAGAGAGAUGCAGCUAUUGCAUUGUCUUAUUUAUCCAUAAUUCAUGAGAACAAGGGUCGCAUUGUGCAAGCUGAUGCGGUGAAGCAACUAGUUAAGCUUAUGGAUCCUGCUCUUGGAAUGAUCGACAAAGCUGUAGCUGUCUUGGCAAAUCUUGCUAUGAUACCAGAAGGGAGAACUGCGAUUGGGGAGACACGAGGUAUUCCAGCUCUUGUUGAAGUUGUCGAACUGGGUUCACCGAGAGGGAAGGAAAAUGCUGCCGCGGCAUUGCUUCAGCUAUGCACAAACAGCAGCCGAUAUUGCAGCGUAGUUCUUAAAGAGGGCGCCGUGCCCCCUUUAGUCACACUGUCACAGUCAGGAACACUGCGAGCAAGAGAAACGGCACAGGCUCUUCUCAGCUACUUCCGCAGCCAGAGACAUGGGAGCUCAUUAAGCGUUUCCAAGUGGUUGACCGGUGCUGCGUAUUUAUAG